Molecule: non-coding RNA, 129 nt
Organism: Dasypus novemcinctus (nine-banded armadillo)
Lineage: Eukaryota; Metazoa; Chordata; Mammalia; Cingulata; Dasypodidae
Source: Rfam
UGGCAGUUAAAGAACAGAGACGGAGCACUAAGACUGCAUGGCUACAUUUUCCCAGUGCCACCAACUGGGAGUUAAGCUGACUAACAUUUUCAAAGCCCAACCCAUUUCCUUCACAGCAGGCAUGGUAGG